This 490-nucleotide ribosomal RNA is filed under the name uncultured bacterium. RNAcentral's name for it is "partial 16S ribosomal RNA". It matches the Rfam family "Bacterial small subunit ribosomal RNA", at positions 30 to 507 of the family's 1533-position model. The record is from RNAcentral.
AUUGAACGCUGGCGGCAGGCCUAACACAUGCAAGUCGAACGGUAACAGGAAGAAGCUUGCUUCUUUGCUGACGAGUGGCGGACGGGUGAGUAAUGUCUGGGAAACUGCCUGAUGGCGGGGGAUAACUACUGGAAACGGUAGCUAUUCCCGCAUAACGUCGCAAGACCAAAGAGGGGGACCUUCGGGCCUUUUGCCAUCGGCUGUGACCAGAUGGGAUUAGCUAGUAGGUGGGGUAACGGCUCACCUAGGCGACGAUCCCUAGCUGGUCUGAGAGGAUGACCAGCCACACUGGAACUGAGACACGGUCCAGACUCCUACGGGAGGCAGCAGUGGGGAAUAUUGCACAAUGGGCGCAAGCCUGAUGCAGCCAUGCCGCGUGUAUGAAGAAGGCCUUCGGGUUGUAAAGUACUUUCAGCGGGGAGGAAGGGAGUAAAGUUAAUACCUUUGCUCAUUGACGUUACCCGCAGAAGAAGCACCGGCUAACUCCGUG